This 1054-nucleotide long non-coding RNA is filed under the name Pongo abelii (Sumatran orangutan). RNAcentral describes it as "lincRNA". The record is from RNAcentral. Lineage: Eukaryota; Metazoa; Chordata; Mammalia; Primates; Hominidae.
UUGUGAGCAGUUGUUACUCUUAGUUUUUAAAAAAUCUUUUACAUUGUAAGUACCCAAUCCAUUCUGUCCUGACGCAGUAGUUUUUAUGUUAAUGUUGCUGAGAUGUCCUUAAUUUUCCGAACCUUCAUCUGCAUGUAUGUCUUUGUCUCUCUUGUCUAAUAUAAGCCAGUUAAGAUGCUUGAGACGAUCUUGCUUUAUAAAGCUAAGGUUCUAGCUUUAUGCUUUUGAAAAUGUUUACAGCAGUAAAUGCUAGUCAGCUUUCUUCCCCGUAGUUUGUACACUUUCUUUGAAAAUCGAUCUAUUUGAAGAAAAACAGCCCUGUUUUUCUCGUCUUUGUUGUUGGGGGUUGGGGGAAGCUGGUGGGUGAGGGAAAGGAAGACCUUUUCUUUGUGUAGAGAGACUAAAGCCGUCACAGGAAACUAGAUUAAAACUGGAAAACAAGUCCUAGCUGGUUCCAGCAAACACCAGCGUUAAGUGGGGGGUAUUUUCUAUGGUGGUUGGGCGGCUGGUGCGUCUUUUGCCUUUUGUUUGAUUUGACUGUAUUUUCGCCUUUUGUCUCUUAAUGACGAUCACACCAUUGCUAUAUCCAGAGCAGUAAACAGUCCUCAGCGAAGCCGCCUUUUUGCCUACCCAACCCUGGAAAGUUUGCAGAAGUGGAAGGAGCAGAACGUGAGGGUGUAACUUACAAAAAGGUUCUGGGCCGGAGAAGGGGCGACGUUCGGGCACCCCCCGAAUGGACAAUCUUUCCUUCUGUCGACGGCAGGGGCAGGCCUAGUUUGACUCUGACAGUCCUCCCACUAAGGAAUUCCUGGUGACUGGAAGGGGAGUGACUUGGGUCCUCAACCUCUAGCAGGUAAGGGAGCUGCCUUCUGGGUGGGCAUGCCCAGUUCCUCAGUGGGCCCAGUGCAGCCCAGCCUCCGAGGAAGCUCUGAGCAGCUGGCUUGGCUCCGAGGUAUUUUUAGCUACAGAUCCAGCCCCCCUCCAUCACCACAACAGUCGAGUCCAAAUCAAACGUGCUCCAGGCAGGUGGGGCUGGGGUUCUGCCAGCCUCCUG